This 45-nucleotide non-coding RNA is filed under the name Schistosoma haematobium. Lineage: Eukaryota; Metazoa; Platyhelminthes; Trematoda; Strigeidida; Schistosomatidae. The record is from RNAcentral.
AUCUGUCUGACGAGUCCCAAAUAGAACGAAACGUGCAUCCUGGAA